AUGUCAUUACAUAUCCGCACACAUUUAGCAGCAGCGGACGAAAGGGUUACACCCGUUAAGAUUCCUCCAUAUGAAAUUCGGACCAAGAUCUUUUUCAUGAUUUACAGUAUGUCCAUUGAUAAUAUAGAAGCUAAUGGAUUCAAAUUUUAUCAAGUGUUGAUGGAACAAUAUUAUCCUUGGUUUGCACAGUACAUGGUCAUGCAAAGGGUAUGCAUCGACCCAAAUUUUCAUGACAUAUGUUUAAUGUUCCUUCAUAAAGUAAACUCACCAGUAUUGGACAUGGAAAUACUGAAAGCUACAUACGCGAACUGCAAGAUAUUAUUACGAUCCGAUAUUACCAAAUCUUGUUCAGGCGAACGCACAUUACUGAAAAAUAUAGGUAUUUGGUUUGGAAAAUUUGCCAUUCAAUGGAACCAGGACCCAAGCACUUAUGUAGAUGGCCUAAUACCUCUUAUAGUAAAGGCGUAUCAGAAAGGGUUGAUGCUUGCUGUAGUUCAAUUCAUUUCAAAGAUUCUUGAACCUUGCCAGCCAACUAUUAGUGUUGGGACAAUGGAGAUUCUUAGUCUACUUGCUGAGAUCUAUACAAAGCCAGACCUCCAACUUUCUCUGGAAUAUAACAUAGAGGUCUUGUUUAAGAACUUUGGUGUGGAUGCAGAACAUACCAAAACAAAUUACCUUCUUAAAGAUGUAAAACUUGAAGUUGCGGGAAAUCAAGAGUUUGCAGUGAAAGAUGUUGUGCAUGUACCAACAUGGUUGUGUCCGACUUUUCUUGAUCAGGAAGGGGAGGCAUCUAUGCCACUCACCCAGUACAUCACUAGUCUGAAACCAAUCAUGCACACUGUCAAGCUUGUUGGUGAGAUGAGAAACCAUUGGUUUUAUUGGGUGGUAGCGGAAAAGGCCAAGAGCCUCAUGGCAUCAAUUAUCAGAGCACUACACGAUCUUCAUGAAGUUAAUAUAUGUCCUGUACAGUUUUAUGCAUCAAACAUUGUCGUGACAUAUUAUGGGAGAGUGAAAAUCAGAGCUGCAUGUUUCAAGAAGACCGUUCCUAUGAUGCGCAAAAACUAUGAGGAUGUCAGCAAUAUUAUUAUGGACACACUGUUUGUUGACUACAAGCUAACUAUUAUCCCCAAAGAUGUUGUUCAUCUACUUUCAUUGAUGAAGUCUCCCAUUGCAACAGGUAUGAAGUAUGUGAUAGGGACGCACGCCUCUCUUAUUCCUCUUGGGAACAGGUUUCAAUUCUAUCUGGAUAUGUGCGACCAUAUUACAUCUGUGGUGGACCCUGAACUUAGGUCAAAUAUUCAUGAAGCUCUAGAUGAUCCCUAUGGUGAGAACUGGUCAGUGUUGCUGAAAUAUAACGUUUUGCUGAAGGAGUCAUUCUACAGAUCCGGGUCGUCAUACAAUACCAAAAAAGGAGCCAUUGAAUUUAUGAGGUUUUAUAGGAACACACUUGCACACAGAAUGGAUAAAUGGAAGAAACCGUUGCAGAAUGUUGGAGAUUUCAGAACAUUGAUAUACACUAAAGAGGAUAUUGAAAUGAUCUUACUGGUUACCUAUCCAAUGAUCCUGCCGAGAAUGCAAGAAGAACUCCAGAAUCAUAAGCGACUGAAGGAUUUGAAUCUUCAUAACCUAAACUUCAAGUAA
Molecule: ribosomal RNA, 1641 nt
Filed under: Triticum aestivum (bread wheat)
Lineage: Eukaryota; Viridiplantae; Streptophyta; Magnoliopsida; Poales; Poaceae
Description: partial small subunit ribosomal RNA
Source: RNAcentral